UGAGGAAUAUUGGUCAAUGGGCGAGAGCCUGAACCAGCCAAGUCGCGUGAGGGAAGACGGUCCUAUGGAUUGUAAACCUCUUUUGUCGGGGAGCAAGGCCACUCACGAGUGAGUGGAAGGAGAGUACCCGAAGAAAAAGCAUCGGCUAACUCCGUGCC
This 158-nucleotide ribosomal RNA is filed under the name uncultured bacterium. Its description in RNAcentral is "partial 16S ribosomal RNA". It matches the Rfam family "Bacterial small subunit ribosomal RNA", at positions 355 to 509 of the family's 1533-position model. The record is from RNAcentral.